CGGGGCGUAGCCCAGUUUGGCUAGGGCGCUACAAUGGGGUUGUAGAGGCCGACGGUUCAAAUCCGUCCGCCCCGA
This 75-nucleotide transfer RNA is filed under the name Chloroflexota bacterium. RNAcentral's name for it is "Chloroflexi bacterium (anaerobic digester metagenome) tRNA-Pro". It matches the Rfam family "tRNA". From Rfam's summary of the family: Transfer RNA (tRNA) molecules are approximately 80 nucleotides in length. Their secondary structure includes four short double-helical elements and three loops (D, anti-codon, and T loops). Further hydrogen bonds mediate the characteristic L-shaped molecular structure. tRNAs have two regions of fundamental functional importance: the anti-codon, which is responsible for specific mRNA codon recognition, and the 3' end, to which the tRNAs corresponding amino acid is attached (by aminoacyl-tRNA synthetases). tRNAs cope with the degeneracy of the genetic code in two manners: having more than one tRNA (with a specific anti-codon) for a particular amino acid; and 'wobble' base-pairing, i.e. permitting non-standard base-pairing at the 3rd anti-codon position. RNAcentral also lists the same sequence under 1 other name. Lineage: Bacteria; Bacillati; Chloroflexota. The record is from RNAcentral.